Molecule: ribosomal RNA, 479 nt
Filed under: uncultured bacterium
Lineage: Bacteria
Description: bacterial SSU rRNA
Rfam family: Bacterial small subunit ribosomal RNA
Source: RNAcentral
AGGAUGAACGCUGGCGGCGUGCCUAACACAUGCAAGUCGAACGAAGCACUUUCGAUUUCUUCGGAAUGAAAAAGUGACUGAGUGGCGGACGGGUGAGUAACGCGUGGGUAACCUGCCUCAUACAGGGGGAUAACAGUUAGAAAUGACUGCUAAUACCGCAUAAGCGCACAGUACCGCAUGGUACAGUGUGAAAAACUCCGGUGGUAUGAGAUGGACCCGCGUCUGAUUAGCUAGUUGGUGAGGUAAUGGGCUCACCAAAGGCGACGAUCCAGUAGCCGGCCUGAGAGGGUGAUCGGCCACAUUGGGACUGAGACACGGCCCAAACUCCUACGGGAGGCAGCAGUGGGGAAUAUUGCACAAUGGGGGAAACCCUGAUGCAGCAACGCCGCGUGAGUGAAGAAAGUAUUUCGGUAUGUAAAGCUCUAUCAGCAGGGAAGAAAAUGACGGUACCUGACUAAGAAGCCCCGGCUAACUACGUG